GAGCCGUUAGAUCGUCGACGUGUUUCUGUUUACGCAUCCUUGAUCUACGUGCAGAUUCACGGUUCGAUAGCAUUCUCUUACGCUUUCGGUCGUCGACGGCGACGGCGGAGCCAGAUGGGUUUCCGCCGUCGGAAGAGCUAGAGCUCCGGUAUGUGCUGCUAGAUGACGCCAUUUUAUUCAGCCGAAAAAUGGUUUAACAAAGAAAAUUAUUACAAGAACUAAAAAAAAGGACAGCUUUGGUUUUUGAUGGUUUCUUAGAUUUGUCUGAAAAGAAAUAAAUAUAUAUAUUUUUUUAAAUUAAGGAUUAGCUUUGGGAGUUUUCAACAAUUCAUGAAACGUUGUAAAACCAGUAGAGAAAGACGACGGAGAAAGAUUGAACGAGAUGGGUUCUGCGGCAGAGAGCAGAUUUAACCGUGAGCCCAGAGAGCAAGAUUUCGCAGAGAACGGGAGU
RNAcentral lists this long non-coding RNA (451 nucleotides) under Brassica rapa (field mustard). Its description in RNAcentral is "long non-coding RNA (BRAP_LNC006361)". The record is from RNAcentral. Lineage: Eukaryota; Viridiplantae; Streptophyta; Magnoliopsida; Brassicales; Brassicaceae.